GCAAGUCGAACGAUGAAGCCGGAGCUUGCUCUGGUGAAUUAGUGGCGAACGGGUGAGUAACACGUGAGCAAUCUGCCCUUGACUCUGGGAUAACUGCGGGAAACUGUAGCUAAUACCGGAUACGACGUACGGAGGCAUCUCCUGUACGUGGAAAGAAUUUUGGUCAAGGAUGAGCUCGCGGCCUAUCAGCUAGUUGGUGAGGUAAUGGCUCACCAAGGCGACGACGGGUAGCCGGCCUGAGAGGGUGACCGGCCACACUGGAACUGAGACACGGUCCAGACUCCUACGGGAGGCAGCAGUGGGGAAUAUUGCACAAUGGGCGAAAGCCUGAUGCAGCAACGCCGCGUGAGGGAUGAAGGCCUUCGGGUUGUAAACCCCUUUUAGUUGGGAAGAAGCGAAAGUGACGGUACCAACAGAAAAAGCACCGGCUAACUACGUGCCAGCAGCCGCGGUAAUACGUAGGGUGCAAGCGUUGUCCGGAAUUAUUGGGCGUAAAGAGCUCGUAGGCGGUUUGUCGCGUCUGCUGUGAAAAUCCGAGGCUCAACCUCGGACCUGCAGUGGGUACGGGCAGACUAGAGUGCGGUAGGGGAGAAGGGAAUUCCUGGUGUAGCGGUGGAAUGCGCAGAUAUCAGGAGGAACACCAAUGGCGAAGGCACUUCUCUGGGCCGUAACUGACGCUGAGGAGCGAAAGCGUGGGGAGCGAACAGGAUUAGAUACCCUGGUAGUCCACGCCGUAAACGGUGGGUGCUAGUUGUGGGUCACAUUCCACGUGAUCCGUGACGCAGCUAACGCAUUAAGCACCCCGCCUGGGGAGUACGGUCGCAAGACUAAAACUCAAAGGAAUUGACGGGGGCCCGCACAGGCAGCGGAGCAUGCGGAUUAAUUCGAU
This 889-nucleotide ribosomal RNA is filed under the name uncultured Microbacteriaceae bacterium. Its description in RNAcentral is "bacterial SSU rRNA". It matches the Rfam family "Bacterial small subunit ribosomal RNA", at positions 57 to 955 of the family's 1533-position model. The record is from RNAcentral. Lineage: Bacteria; Bacillati; Actinomycetota; Actinomycetes; Micrococcales; Microbacteriaceae.